RNAcentral lists this ribosomal RNA (570 nucleotides) under uncultured bacterium. RNAcentral describes it as "partial 16S ribosomal RNA". It matches the Rfam family "Bacterial small subunit ribosomal RNA", at positions 355 to 1375 of the family's 1533-position model. The record is from RNAcentral.
UGGGGAAUAUUGCACAAUGGGCGAAAGCCUGAUGCAGCAACGCCGCGUGAGGGACGACGGCCUUCGGGUUGUAAACCUCUUUUAGCAAGGAAGAAGCGAAAGUGACGGUACUUGCAGAAAAAGCGCCGGCUAACUACGUGCCAGCAGCCGCGGUAAUACGUAGGGCGCAAGCGUUAUCCGGAAUUAUUGGGCGUAAAGAGCUCGUAGGCGGUUUGUCGCGUCUGCUGUGAAAACCCGAGGCUCAACCUCGGGCCUGCAGUGGGUACGGGCAGACUAGAGUGCGGUAGGGGAGAUUGGAACUCCUGGUGUAGCGGUGGAAUGCGCAGAUAUCAGGAAGAACACCGAUGGCGAAGGCAGAUCUCUGGGCCGUAACUGACGCUGAGGAGCGAAAAGGGUGGGGAGCAAAACAGGCUUAGAUACCCUGGUAGUCCACCCCGUAAACGUUGGGAACUAGUUGUGGGGUCCAUUCCACGGAUUCCGUGACGCAGCUAACGCAUUAAGUUCCCCGCCUGGGGAGUACGGCCGCAAGGCUAAAACUCAAAUGAAUUGACGGGGUCAUAGCUGUUUCCU